Molecule: ribosomal RNA, 620 nt
Filed under: Mesorhizobium sp. UFLA4-79
Lineage: Bacteria; Pseudomonadati; Pseudomonadota; Alphaproteobacteria; Hyphomicrobiales; Phyllobacteriaceae
Description: bacterial SSU rRNA
Rfam family: Bacterial small subunit ribosomal RNA
Source: RNAcentral
AGGAGCGGCAGACGGGUGAGUAACGCGUGGGAAUCUACCCAUCUCUACGGAACAACUCCGGGAAACUGGAGCUAAUACCGUAUACGUCCUUCGGGAGAAAGAUUUAUCGGAGAUGGAUGAGCCCGCGUUGGAUUAGCUAGUUGGUGGGGUAAUGGCCUACCAAGGCGACGAUCCAUAGCUGGUCUGAGAGGAUGAUCAGCCACAUUGGGACUGAGACACGGCCCAAACUCCUACGGGAGGCAGCAGUGGGGAAUAUUGGACAAUGGGCGAAAGCCUGAUCCAGCCAUGCCGCGUGAGUGAUGAAGGCCCUAGGGUUGUAAAGCUCUUUCAACGGUGAAGAUAAUGACGGUAACCGUAGAAGAAGCCCCGGCUAACUUCGUGCCAGCAGCCGCGGUAAUACGAAGGGGGCUAGCGUUGUUCGGAAUUACUGGGCGUAAAGCGCACGUAGGCGGAUUGUUAAGUUAGGGGUGAAAUCCCAGGGCUCAACCCUGGAACUGCCUUUAAUACUGGCAAUCUCGAGUCCGAGAGAGGUGAGUGGAAUUCCGAGUGUAGAGGUGAAAUUCGUAGAUAUUCGGAGGAACACCAGUGGCGAAGGCGGCUCACUGGCUCGGUACUGACGC